UAAUUGGGAGAGAAAAUUGCC
This 21-nucleotide microRNA is filed under the name Picea abies (Norway spruce). RNAcentral's name for it is "pab-miR1312c". Lineage: Eukaryota; Viridiplantae; Streptophyta; Pinopsida; Pinales; Pinaceae. The record is from miRBase by way of RNAcentral.